RNAcentral lists this ribosomal RNA (253 nucleotides) under uncultured bacterium. Its description in RNAcentral is "partial 16S ribosomal RNA". It matches the Rfam family "Bacterial small subunit ribosomal RNA", at positions 524 to 776 of the family's 1533-position model. The record is from RNAcentral.
UACGGAGGGGACUAGCGUUGUUCGGAAUUACUGGGCGUAAAGCGCACGUAGGCGGAUUUGUAAGUCAGGGGUGAAAUCCCGGGGCUCAACCUCGGAACUGCCUUUGAUACUGCCAAUCUCGAGUCCGGAAGAGGUGAGUGGAAUUCCUAGUGUAGAGGUGAAAUUCGUAGAUAUUAGGAAGAACACCAGUGGCGAAGGCGGCUCACUGGUCCGGUACUGACGCUGAGGUGCGAAAGCGUGGGGAGCAAACAGG